GAUGAACGCUGGCGGCGUGCCUAAUACAUGCAAGUCGAGCGAACAGAUAAGGAGCUUGCUCCUUUGACGUUAGCGGCGGACGGGUGAGUAACACGUGGGUAACCUACCUAUAAGACUGGAAUAGCUCCGGGAAACCGGGGCUAAUGCCGGAUAACAUUUAGAACCGCAUGGUUCUAAAGUGAAAGAUGGUUUUGCUAUCACUUAUAGAUGGACCCGCGCCGUAUUAGCUAGCUGGUAAGGUAACGGCUUACCAAGGCAACGAUACGUAGCCGACCUGAGAGGGUGAUCGGCCACACUGGAACUGAGACACGGUCCAGACUCCUACGGGAGGCAGCAGUAGGGAAUCUUCCGCAAUGGGCGAAAGCCUGACGGAGCAACGCCGCGUGAGUGAUGAAGGUCUUCGGAUCGUAAAACUCUGUUAUUAGGGAAGAACAAAUGUGUAAGUAACUGUGCACGUCUUGACGGUACCUAAUCAGAAAGCCACGGCUAACUACGUG
This 497-nucleotide ribosomal RNA is filed under the name uncultured bacterium. Its description in RNAcentral is "partial 16S ribosomal RNA". It matches the Rfam family "Bacterial small subunit ribosomal RNA", at positions 28 to 507 of the family's 1533-position model. The record is from RNAcentral.